RNAcentral lists this ribosomal RNA (440 nucleotides) under uncultured bacterium. Its description in RNAcentral is "partial 16S ribosomal RNA". It matches the Rfam family "Bacterial small subunit ribosomal RNA", at positions 338 to 795 of the family's 1533-position model. The record is from RNAcentral.
CCUACGGGUGGCAGCAGUGGGGAAUAUUGGACAAUGGGGGAAACCCUAAUCCAGCGACGCCGCGUGAGUGAAGAAGUAUUUCGGUACGUAAAGCUCUAUCAGCAGGAAAGAAAAUGACGGUACCUGACUAAGAAGCCCCGGCUAACUACGUGCCAGCAGCCGCGGUAAUACGUAGGGGGCAAGCGUAAUCCGGAUUUACUGGGUGUAAAGGGAGCGUAGACGGUGCGCCAAGUCUGGAGUGAAAUGCCGAAGCUUAACUGCGGAACUGCCUUGGAUACUGGCGGACUAGAGUGCGGGAGGGGUAGGCGGAAUUCGUAGUGUAGCGGUGAAAUGCGUAGAUAUUAGGAGGAACACCGAUGGCGAAGGCGGCUUACUGGACCGUAACUGACGUUGAGGCUCGAGAGCGUGGGGAGCAAACAGGAUUAGAUACCCGUGUAGUC